Molecule: ribosomal RNA, 113 nt
Filed under: Tupaia belangeri (northern tree shrew)
Lineage: Eukaryota; Metazoa; Chordata; Mammalia; Scandentia; Tupaiidae
Source: RNAcentral
GUCUACGGCCAGGCCCUGAAUGUAUUUGAUCUUGUCUGAUCUCAGAAGCUCCAAGGUUGAGCUUGGUUCGUACUUGGAUGGGAAAUCACAUAGGCAUAGCAUUACUGUACUUU